UUUGGCUAGAAAGUUUGUUUUUUUUUGUUUUUUGCUUUUUCCUUUUUAAAAAUUCCCUUACCCUUUUCAGCCUCAGUGAGCCCUCCCCCACGACUGCUCUGCAUCAUAUCCCAGCGGUCUUCAGCUCUGCCCGAAGUGCCGUCCGACCACCCCGCAGUCGUGUGCCUUCCACCAACGUCAGAACACUGCCGCUGCUACCGACCGGCGCCGUCCUCCACGUUUCUGCGUGUCAGACUGUCCAGUCCGCUCGGUCUCCGUUCCUCACAGAUCUACAACGCCGACGAUCGUCUCUGGUUGACGCCGUAGCACGUCGCUGCCGUGGGGAGCGUCGCUAAGUGCCGUCACCGCUACCUUGGGUUAUUUCCGGAAUCUUGAUUUUAGGUUGGAAUCUUGAAAGAAGUUUUGGAAGUGGGUUGGAUUCAGCCACAUUUUGGGUUGGACUUUGGACAAUGCUUUCUGGAGUGAAAAUUAUUGCUCGGGAUAAAGUUAUUGAGAGUAAUGAGAAACAAAAAGAUAGGGGGAAGUCAACUCGUUACAGUAGUUCAGAUGAGGAGUAUCAUAACACGAAAAAGAAGAAAUUUGAGAGGAAGAAAUUGGAAUCAUCCAAGGACUAUUCAACAUCUUCAACUGAUAGUGAGAUGAUUGAAGACUCUCGCUGGGAUGAGAAGAAACAUCGUUCAAGAAGAGCAAGUAAGAGGAACAAGAAUAACAGUUCAUCUGAAAAUGAUGGUAGAGUGAAAAUGAAAUCAAGGAGUGACAGGAACACUUUGGCUGGGGAGUAUUCUUCAUCUAGUUAUAGUGAUAAGAACUCUAGUGAUAGUCGUGAGAAGAGACGGAAACGUAGUAGAAGAGAUGAUAGAAAACAGGGUAAGAAAAGAAAAAGUCAACACCUUAGAGAAGAUAUGUUUGAUGGCAUCAGAGACACUUCUAAAGAUGACAAAGAAAUUGUUAGAAAAGAAAUGGGGUUGGAAUGGAUGCUUAAACCCCAAGAAAAGAUGCAGAAAGGCUUAGAUGAGUGUGUUGAUAACCAACAAGAAGAAGAAGCUCUUGAGGAAAUAAAUAAGGUCAAUCCCAGGGAAUUAAAUCCAUAUUUUAAAGAAAAUGGAACUGGUUAUCCGGAGGACAGUGAUAGACUCAAAUCAGAUAUAGAUAAACUUCCACCACCUCGGGUUGUUGGGGAUGGGGGGGCUAGUUGGAGACUUAAAGCAUUGAAGCGGGCUGAGGAGCAAGCAGCUCGAGAUGGACGGAGACUUGAAGAGGUUGUUGAAGAACGUUGGGGUUCUCUUGGCCAACUUGCUGUCUCUGUAGCAGCCAGUAAGGUGGCACCGUCACGUUCUCAUUUGCAUGCUAUAAGAAAUAGAAAGAGAGGGCUAACCAGUCAUCAACCAUCAGACGGUCAAAAUGAAAGUGAUUCUGGAAAGAGCUCUGCCAGGGACCACUUGAAGGACAUCUCUUCCAGAAAUCCUGAAAUGAGGGAGCCUAAAGUUCGAGAUUCUUUAUCAUGGGGAAAGCAAAAAGGUCAAAAUGUUUCUUCAAGGGAUGCUGGCUUCAUUUCUGUAGCAGUGUCCAGUUUAAAUAAGUUCUCAGAUGAUGGAAGCUUUGCAUCUGAAUUUCUCAGACAACAACGUGAAAAUACUAAAGGUGAUUCAAUUGAGACAAAGGUGAAAUCAGAAUUGGUUGUCUCAACAUCAGAGAAGCACAUUGAAGAUUGUGCUUCGGCCAAGGAUGCAAUGAGUGCAAACCAGUUGGCUGCAAAGGCAUUUCAGCUUCAAAUAAAAGGAAAACAUGAAGAAGCUCAAAAGCUUUUGCAAGAAGUACAAAAUAUGAAGGCAACCAAUAGUGUUGAAGUGAAUCCCACAAAGCCACAAGUUGAACGAAUCUCUGCUAGAAAACAUUUUCCAGGUAUAUCUAAGAGGAAUAAGGAGGAUGAUACAGAUCUUUAUCUAGCUAAAAAUAUAAUGCAGAACAAGCAGUACAGCAUGUCUGGUCGGGCAGAUGAUGAAUAUGAUUAUGAACAUGCAAGAAGAACGAAUCAAAGAAAAAGGGAAAGUAAUGAUGAUAAGCUAUCUGCAAAGGAUAUUCGUCCAAGGCAUAUGGCAACUCAGGAAGAACGCUGCAUCUUUUGCUUUGAAAAUCCUAACAGGCCAAAACAUUUGACAGUGUCAAUUGCAAAUUACACUUAUUUGAUGCUGCCUCAGUGGCAGCCUGUGGUUUCUGGCCAUUGCUGCAUUUUACCUAUUUCACAUGAAUCAGCCUCAAGAGGUGUGGAUAAAACCGUGUGGGAGGAAAUUCGCAACUUCAAAAAGUGUCUGAUAAUGAUGUUUGCAAAGCAAGACAAAGAUGUGGUUUUUCUUGAAACAGUUGUGGGCUUGGCAAAACAACGUCGCCAUUGUAUGAUUGAGUGCAUUCCUUUGCCUCAAGGAAUAGCAAAAGAGGCUCCUCUAUAUUUUAAAAAGGCUAUUGAUGAAGUAGAGGAAGAAUGGAGCCAGCACAAUGCGAAAAAACUUAUAGAUACAAGUGAGAAGGGAUUGCGUGGAUCAAUCCCAGAGAAUUUUCCAUACUUCCAUGUUGAAUUUGGGUUGAACAAGGGGUUUGUGCAUGUGAUAGAUGACGAAAAUAAUUUCAAGACCGGCUUUGGGCUCAAUGUUAUAAGAGGCAUGUUGCAGCUAGCCGAGGAGGAUAUGCACCGACGCCGUAGAUACGAGUCUGUUGAGGUGCAAAAGCAUGCGAUGACAAACUUUUUAAAAGAUUGGGAGCCUUAUGAUUGGACAAAACAAUUAUGAAUUGUCUGUAAUUUUAUUGCUACUGUAUUUAACUUUAAAUAUAGUGUAAAUUAUCAGGGGUCUCAAAUGCGUUUCAAGGUCAAGCAUGCAGCAAGCUCUCAACCAAAAGCAAGGGUUUGAUGAGAUGGAAAAACAAGUGAGCUCGCCAAAGUCGAGUGGUAUUUGCAAUUUGGACAUUGGUCUAUGCAAUCCGAAUUGGGCUUCUGAAAUGGCGAAACAUAAGUUCUUAAUGCCUGCGGAGGUGUUGCUUUUCUGCAUAUCUUUGAUUCAUCCUUUAAUGUUGUAUUUGGUGAAUCAAAUAGCAUGAUCUAGUGAUGAACCAUUUUGAUCGGUUAAUAAUAGGUUCAAAUUGGGGUUUCUUAAAAAAUAAAAUAAAACACAAAAAUAUUUGCAUCCUAUUGAAAAAGGAAAAAAUUAAUAACAAGAAUACUUUGCUAUUAA
Molecule: RNA transcript, 3224 nt
Organism: Cucumis melo (muskmelon)
Lineage: Eukaryota; Viridiplantae; Streptophyta; Magnoliopsida; Cucurbitales; Cucurbitaceae
Exons: 13
Source: RefSeq, a predicted model, not a curated record